AUUGAACGCUGGCGGCAUGCCUUACACAUGCAAGUCGAACGGCAGCACGGGAGCAAUCCUGGGUGGCGAGUGGCGAACGGGUGAGUAAUAUAUCGGAACGUGCCCAGUCGUGGGGGAUAACGUAGCGAAAGCUACGCUAAUACCGCAUACGAUCUAUGGAUGAAAGCGGGGGAUCGCAAGACCUCGCGCGAUUGGAGCGGCCGAUAUCAGAUUAGGUAGUUGGUGAGGUAAAGGCUCACCAAGCCGACGAUCUGUAGCUGGUCUGAGAGGACGACCAGCCACACUGGGACUGAGACACGGCCCAGACUCCUACGGGAGGCAGCAGUGGGGAAUUUUGGACAAUGGGCGCAAGCCUGAUCCAGCAAUGCCGCGUGCAGGAUGAAGGCCUUCGGGUUGUAAACUGCUUUUGUACGGAACGAAACGGUGAGCUCUAAUACAGUUUGCUAAUGACGGUACCGUAAGAAUAAGCACCGGCUAACUACGUG
RNAcentral lists this ribosomal RNA (485 nucleotides) under uncultured bacterium. Its description in RNAcentral is "bacterial SSU rRNA". It matches the Rfam family "Bacterial small subunit ribosomal RNA", at positions 30 to 507 of the family's 1533-position model. The record is from RNAcentral.